RNAcentral lists this ribosomal RNA (253 nucleotides) under uncultured bacterium. RNAcentral's name for it is "partial 16S ribosomal RNA". It matches the Rfam family "Bacterial small subunit ribosomal RNA", at positions 524 to 776 of the family's 1533-position model. The record is from RNAcentral.
UACGUAGGGGGCUAGCGUUGUCCGGAAUCAUUGGGCGUAAAGAGCGUGUAGGCGGUCCGGUAAGUCGGCUGUGAAAGUCCAGGGCUCAACCCUGGGAUGCCGGUCGAUACUGCCGGACUAGAGUUCGGAAGAGGCGAGUGGAAUUCCCGGUGUAGCGGUGAAAUGCGCAGAUAUCGGGAGGAACACCAAUGGCGAAGGCAGCUCGCUGGGACGUUACUGACGCUGAGACGCGAAAGCGUGGGGAGCAAACAGG